AAUAGAUACCCCGGUAGUCCUAGCCGUAAACGAUGAACACUAGAUGUUGGUGGUAUCAACCCCGCCAGUGUCGUAGCUAACACAUUAAGUGUUCCGCCUGGAGAGUACGGCCGCAAGGCUAAAACUCAAAGGAAUUGACGGGGGCCCGCACAAGCAGCGGAGCGUGGGGUUUAAUUCGACGCAACGCGAAGAACCUUACCAGGGCUUGACAUGACCAGGGAUCCGGCGGAAACGUCGGCGCCUCGCAAGAGGCCUGGCCACAGGUGUUGCAUGGCUGCCGUCAGCUCGUGUCGUGAGAUGUCGGGUUAAGUCCCGCAACGAGCGCAACCCCUACUGUGUGUUGUAUCACUCACACGGGACUGCCGAGAGAAACUCGGAGGAAGGUGGGGACGACGUCAAGUCAGCAUGGCCCUUACGUCCUGGGCUACACCCACGCUACAAUGGCCGGUACAACGGGCUGCGAAACCGCGAGGUGGAGCUAAUCCCUUAAAGCCGGUCUCAGUUCGGAUCGCAGGCUGAAACUCGCCUGCGUGAAGCCGG
RNAcentral lists this ribosomal RNA (540 nucleotides) under uncultured bacterium. Its description in RNAcentral is "bacterial SSU rRNA". It matches the Rfam family "Bacterial small subunit ribosomal RNA", at positions 777 to 1329 of the family's 1533-position model. The record is from RNAcentral.